This 211-nucleotide unclassified non-coding RNA is filed under the name plant metagenome. RNAcentral's name for it is "partial contains small subunit ribosomal RNA, internal transcribed spacer 1, and 5.8S ribosomal RNA". The record is from RNAcentral.
UUUCCGUAGGUGAACCUGCGGAAGGAUCAUUCAUAAUAAAGUGUUUUAUGGCACUUUUUAAAAAUCCAUAUCCACCUUGCGUGCAAUGUUAGGUCUCGUCAAUCUUGGCGAGAUUUUUAUACAUCAACUCAUUUUUUAACUAAUUUGUAUGAAAAAUAUUAUGAAUACUUAAUUCAAAAUACAACUUUCAACAACGGAUCUCUUGGCUCUC